UACGGCUACCUUGUUACGACUUAGUCCCAGUCACCAGCCUCGCCGUGGGCACCACUGAUUCGUGGCGACUUAAGGCGCUGCCAGCUUCCAUGACUUGACGGGCGGUGUGUACAAGGCUCAGGAACGUAUUCACCGCGGCGUAGCUGAUCCGCGAUUACUAGCGAUUCCAACUUCAUGCAGGCGAAUUGCAGCCUGCAAUCUGAACUGGGGCGGGCUUUUACGUUUUGCUCCACCUCGCGGUAUUGCAUCGCUCUGUACCCGCCAUUGUAGCACGUGUGCAGCCCUGGGCAUAAAGGCCAUGCGGACUUGACGUCGUCCCCACCUUCCUCCGACUUGACGCCGGCGGUCUCGCUAGAGUCCCCGCCAUUACGCGCUGGCAACUAGCGACAGGGGUUUCGCUCGUUAAAGGACUUAACCUAACACCUCACGGCACGAGCUGACGACAGCCAUGCAGCACCUGUGCACGUUCCACCCGAAGGCGUCAUCCCGGUUUCUCGGGACUAAUCCGUGCAUGUCAAACCCAGGAUAAGGUUCUUCGCGUUGCUUCGAAUUAAGCCACAUGCUCCACCGCUUGUGUGAGCCCCCGUCAAUUCCUUUGAGUUUUAGCCUUGCGACCGUACUCCCCAGGCGGUGCACUUAACACUUUUGC
This 649-nucleotide ribosomal RNA is filed under the name uncultured bacterium. RNAcentral describes it as "partial 16S ribosomal RNA". The record is from RNAcentral.